GAGCAGGAGUUGCCGGAAAAAUUUCCGGCGAAAAGCAAGAAUCAAAGCACAAAAUCAGAGAUCUUGAUUUUCGCUAAGUUCUUCACCGGAAACCUAGUUCAAUAAUUUGUAUAUCCAAAAAACUAUGUUAUUCUUCAGCAAACAAUAGGACUUCGAAAAAUAGAGUUUACGUUGAUUGAAUUCACAGAUUUAAGGCAGAACACAAUUGAUUGGAUCAAUGGAUAUAAAUCAGCAAGAAAUAUGAUAAACUAAAACCUGAAGAAACGAAUCAGUUUGUAUUGUAAAUCAAAUGCUAUCGAUUUCCAAAAUAGUCCAAUUCAAUCAAAUUUUCUCGAGAAGUUAUUUAUUAUCAGAUUUUUCCGGUGAUCGGAAUUUGUGACGGAAUAUUGGGAACCGGCAGAGUACAAAUAAAGAGAUGAAAUUAAUUUGUUUUGGUUUCUAUUCUUGUUUCUGUAUGCAAAAUCUUGUUCGUCUUUGAUAUGAAGAAAAAGAGAUGAGAAGCCAGAGAGAGAAACAAUCUG
This 521-nucleotide long non-coding RNA is filed under the name Nicotiana benthamiana. RNAcentral's name for it is "long non-coding RNA (NBEN_LNC034309)". The record is from RNAcentral. Lineage: Eukaryota; Viridiplantae; Streptophyta; Magnoliopsida; Solanales; Solanaceae.